GGGGGCGUAAUGGUUUCGACGGGGAUGGAUUGGGUACGGUAAGCGAGCUGCAGGACGCCGGAAUCUGCACUAAAAACCGGCAAACAAAUAAUAACUGCGAAAAACAACGUAGCUUUCGCAGCCUAACGCUGCGACGUUCUACCUGCAUGUCCCGUCGGGCAGGAUAGAACGCCAUUAGAUGGGGAACAGGCCGGGUUAAGCUUUGCCCCCGCGCCGGUAUGAUGAAGCUACCAAGGUAAUUCCCUUGCGUCUUGAGGAAUUGCUGCGGGAAUGAGAUCAAGCCGCUGCGCUCGGAGAAAACUGUAGACGAACAUCUUCGGACAGGGGUUCAACUCCCCUCGCCUCCACCA
RNAcentral lists this transfer-messenger RNA (350 nucleotides) under Clostridiales bacterium. It matches the Rfam family "transfer-messenger RNA". From Rfam's summary of the family: Bacterial tmRNA, also known as 10Sa RNA or SsrA, is named for its dual tRNA and mRNA-like properties. Its role is to liberate the mRNA from a stalled ribosome. Lineage: Bacteria; Bacillati; Bacillota; Clostridia; Eubacteriales. RNAcentral also lists the same sequence under 1 other name. The record is from RNAcentral.